AUCAAAAUGACUGAUUAAAGUAAUAAACUGUAAAUUUAUUUAUGAAUAAUAUUUUUAUUCUUUUGAUA
This 68-nucleotide transfer RNA is filed under the name Phymatostetha signifera. RNAcentral describes it as "tRNA-Tyr". RNAcentral also lists the same sequence under 1 other name. Lineage: Eukaryota; Metazoa; Arthropoda; Insecta; Hemiptera; Cercopidae. The record is from RNAcentral.